Molecule: long non-coding RNA, 929 nt
Organism: Cotesia glomerata
Lineage: Eukaryota; Metazoa; Arthropoda; Insecta; Hymenoptera; Braconidae
Exons: 3
Source: RefSeq, a predicted model, not a curated record
GUGUGCUUUUGAUACUGCAUAUACAAAUACAGGCAUUCAUCGUGGCGCUGGCGUAGAACUAGAGAAUCUUUUAGGGCGAAAGCUCAUUUGGUUGCCAUGUCGUCAUCACGUCAUUGAACUACUCAUUAAAGGUGUUUUUGAAGUAUACUGGCCAACGCAAAAUGGCCCAAAUGUUUCAACUUUUGGUAGAUUCAAAAAUAAUUGGAACAAGAUAGAUAAAUCAAAAUACAGUGCAGGAAUUAAUGAUCCUAUUGUUGCUAAAGUACUAUCAGAGAAAAAAGACGAAACAUUGGAUUUUAUUGAAAGUUAUUCGCUGAAAUAUCUUCCGAGGAAUGAUUACCGAGAAUUUUUAGAGUUAUCGUCAAUUUUUUUAGGAGUUAUUCCAAAAGAUAAUUUCACCUUUAAACAUCCAGGAGCGAUGAGUCAUGCUCGUUGGAUGUCGAAGGUAAUUUAUUGCCUGAAAAUAUAUAUUUUUAGGGGAGAAUUUAAGCUGACCCCUCAUGAAUUAACUAGUAUUCGCCAAGUAUGUAUUUUCAUAAUUGUCAUUUAUAUAAAAGCUUGGUUCACUUCACCUUCUGCUAUCUUAGCUGCAAAUAAUGACUUAAUUUUGAUGCAACAAUUGAUACUCUAUGAUAAAAUUAAUUCAUCUGUAUCAAAAGGAGCUUUAAAAAAAAUGAGCGAUCAUUUGUGGUAUUUAAGUGACAAAUUAGCCAUAAUUUCUCUAUUUGACGAUGCUGUAGAUCCGGAAGUAAAGAAAAAAAUGGUAAAAAAUUUGAAAAAUCGGAACCCUAUAAAAACUAAAGCCAGAAAAUAUGAAUUUGACUACAAAAACUUACAUGAAUUUUUACACAAAGAUGUAAGUGACUUCAUUUCAACAGAAUCGUUAACAAUUUUAAAAGACUUUGACUUGCCACAUGAAUUUUUAAGUG